Molecule: ribosomal RNA, 424 nt
Filed under: uncultured bacterium
Lineage: Bacteria
Description: partial 16S ribosomal RNA
Rfam family: Bacterial small subunit ribosomal RNA
Source: RNAcentral
AAUAUUGGACAAUGGGGGGAACCCUGAUCCAGCCAUGCCGCGUGUGUGAAGAAGGUCUUCGGAUUGUAAAGCACUUUAAGUUGGGUGGAAGAGUUGUAGGCUAAUACUUUGCAUUUUUGACGUUACCCACAGAAUAAGCACCGGCUCACUUCGUGCCAUCAGCCGCGGUAAUACGAAGGGUGCAAGCGUUAAUCGGAAUUACUGGGCGUAAAGCGCGCGUAGGUGGUUCGUCAAGUUGGAAGUGAAAGCCCCGGGCGCAACCUGGGAAUUGCUUUCAAAACUGACGAGCUAGAGUACGGUAGAGGGUGGUGGAAUUUCCUGUGUAGCGGUGAAAUGCGUAGAUAUAGGAAGGAACACCAGUGGCGAAGGCGACCACCUGGGCUAAUACUGACACUGAGGUGCGAAAGCGUGGGGAGCAAACAGG